Phoenix dactylifera (date palm) is the source of this 1704-nucleotide non-coding RNA. The record is from RefSeq and is a predicted model, not a curated record. NCBI's taxonomy places the organism in Eukaryota, Viridiplantae, Streptophyta, Magnoliopsida, Arecales, Arecaceae.
UCUGUGCUCUGAGCUCUUGUUUGCCGACCGAGGGAGAGGGACUUUUUGGAGAUAAAUGGGAAGGACUCGGUGGCUUUGGCCGAGUACGAGAGCACGAUUCAGUGAUCUUCAGAAGUUCAACAGUGCACUGUCCUUGCUCCAACAAAAUCUCUGGUUUGCCGCAAUUCAUUUCCCUAAAGGCUGCAGAAGAAGAGAGGCCAGACAAACUCAUAUACAGUCAGCUCUCUCCGUCAGGAUUUCAGCCUAUAUCAACCAUGGACAAUUUCGAGACCCAUUACAAAUCAUCCCAUCUGUUCUCAUCUCAGGAAUUCUUCAAUUUAGAUCAACAAGGUGUCCAAUUUUUAGUGCAUUCCAAUCUUUCCCGUGUCACUGAUUCUUUUGGUGCCUCUCUGCACCAGUUGAACAAGGCUAGAAGGUUCUCGGUGGCUUCAAAUAAUUCCAUUCCCCAUGGUACGAACAACAUUUUCUUUAAUGUCCAUGGCUGUCCAAAUUUUCCUAAUUCUAUUGGUGCUUCUUUGAGACAACAAGCUUUUGAAGGAGGGAUUGCAGUGAAUGCCGGAUUUUACGGUUGGUGCCUUCCCUCCAUGGAACACUUCAAAGCCCUCUGCAUCUACUGUACAGCCGACCAUAGUUUACAGAGGUUCGGUAAAUAUGUAUGAUGAUGUCUCAUUGGAGAAGGUAGAAUCCAUUUCUAGUAUGGAAUUUUGAUGGACUAAAUAAAACAAGAUACACUUGCUGUCAAACAAUUUGAUAAUGAGGUGAAUUUUUUUCCCUUUAGGCUCAAGAGAUUAUGCUUUUGGUGAGCAAUAUGUCUAACAUGACUUCAAAUUCUGUGAAUACAAGAGUUAGGGCACAUAUACUGGACCCAACUAAAGUGCCAGAAGUUGAUGCUUCAUGUACAAAAGUGGCACAGGGCUAGAGCCAGAACCAGGCGACAUCAAACUGCUUAGGUUUUUUUAAGUUCAGUUGCCCUUAUUUCAGCUAAUGGGGCUCAAUCUGGCAGUGUUUCUAGCAACACCAAUGAUAUGUGAGGGGCAAAGAGUGUUGGACCUUUGAUGGAGCCUCUGAAACAUACUAACUCUACCCGGGAGAUUGCUACUUGUGUACCUCUCACGCCUGGAGGUACUUGUUGCAUUGAGGACCUUUUACUCAACUAGUUUCCAUAUGUCAUAGUAAUUUGAUGUAAAAUAUUAAGUGGUACUUCAGGCUCGCAAGGCAUCUCUAGCCCAGUUCCUGCAAAAGCGAAAGGAAAGGCUCACCAACUCCAUGCCUUAUUCCUGCAACAAGAAAUCACCUGAAAGUGUUAUUGGGUUUGAUGGUGCCAAUUUGAUUGCAUCAGCUGACAUUUACUUCUCCUAGUCUAAGAGAGCAGUUAUGGUGCUCGGGCCAACCAAUUAACAACACACAAAGUGCACAAUCUCCAGGUACCAGAUCAGAGAUGUGAGGUUGUUCUGUAUUUUCUGUACUCAUUCUACAUCAUUUUUUUCUAACUUUUCAAUUUAUUUGAGGUUUUACUAUUUAUCAGUGCAGGGAUGUUGUUAUAGUAUAUUGAUUUUGUAGGCUUUUAUAUGACAUGAUGUGGGAGAAGUUUAUCUGCUGACAAUAGAACUUCUGAGCGAUGAUUUUUCUUUUCUUUAUUUCUUUUUUAUCUUUCCCUUGUAGACAUCUUGCAGAAAUGAUAUUAUUUAUCUGUUCUUUUUUUUU